RNAcentral lists this ribosomal RNA (253 nucleotides) under uncultured bacterium. RNAcentral's name for it is "partial 16S ribosomal RNA". It matches the Rfam family "Bacterial small subunit ribosomal RNA", at positions 524 to 776 of the family's 1533-position model. The record is from RNAcentral.
UCCGGAGGGGGCUAGCGUUGUUCGGAAUUACUGGGCGUAAAGCGCACGUAGGCGGAUCGUUAACUCGGGGGUGAAAUCCCAGGGCUCAACCCUGGAACUGCCUUCGAUACUGGCUAUCUGGAGAUCGAGAGAGGCGAGUGGAAAGCCGAGUGUAGAGGUGAAAUUCGUAGAUAUUCGGCGGAACACCAGUGGCGAAGGCGGCUCGCUGGCUCGAGACUGACGCUGAGGUGCGAAUGCGUGGGGAGUAAACAGG